AAUCCAUAGGUUAAUGAGGCGAACCGGGGGAACUGAAACAUCUAAGUACCCCGAGGAAAAGAAAUCAACCGAGAUUCCCCCAGUAGCGGCGAGCGAACGGGGAGGAGCCCAGAGCCUGAAUCAGCAUGUGUGUUAGUGGAAGCGUCUGGAAAGGCGCGCGAUACAGGGUGACAGCCCCGUACACAAAAGCGCAUGUGCUGUGAGCUCGA
Molecule: ribosomal RNA, 209 nt
Filed under: Salmonella enterica subsp. enterica serovar Dublin
Lineage: Bacteria; Pseudomonadati; Pseudomonadota; Gammaproteobacteria; Enterobacterales; Enterobacteriaceae
Description: partial 23S ribosomal RNA
Rfam family: Bacterial large subunit ribosomal RNA
Source: RNAcentral